GGGACGUUCAGCUCCCGCCCUGGGCCGGAGGAAGCCCUCACAGGUUCAUUAGCUUAAACAGGCAGGCACUGGAGAGCGAUUAUGUUAGCACCCACCUCCAUCACUGGAUAGAUCUCAUCUUCGGUCACAAGCAGCACGGCCCAGCAGCUGUGAAGGCGGUCAAUGUCUUCCACCCGUAUUUCUACGGUGACCAGGUGCGCCUGGACAGCAUCAGUGACCCUCUCACCAAAAACACCAUCUUGGGAUUCGGCAGCAACUUUGGACAAAUCCCAAAGCAGCUCUUUUCCAAACCGCACCCGGCCCGCAGUGCCCUGGGGAAGCAUCCGGUGGGCAGAGACGGCCUCCACUUCUCUGUCCCUGCCGGCCUGUUGCCUCCGUCCCUCAGCA
Long non-coding RNA from Gekko japonicus, 387 nucleotides. RefSeq lists it as uncharacterized. NCBI's taxonomy places the organism in Eukaryota, Metazoa, Chordata, Lepidosauria, Squamata, Gekkonidae. The transcript is spliced from 3 exons. The record is from RefSeq and is a predicted model, not a curated record.